AACUGAAAGAAGAAAAUUCAGAAUUGUCUACCUCGUAGCCUGGAAGGAUCCAAAUAUUUGGAAGCACUUACUGACCAAAAGAUCUCUUUUCUCUGCACCUUCUUAUCCGUCUAUCUCCCCAUCAAAGAUGAAUUUAAGCUUUUGGCAACUAUGGACAGAGAUAUGAACUUUCCCUAUUCGGAAGAAAAGCUUCCACUUUCAGCUUUGUAGUUGCACUUGAGCAUUUGAAUCUGGAAAAAGGUUUCACCUUUGGGCGUUUGAUUCAACGCCAGUUGUAACUGGUGGAGUGGAGGUAAGGUUGUGAGCUUUAAUUUGUUUGAGUGAGGGAUUCUGAAUUGAAAAUGGGAAAAAUGUAUCCUUUGUUUGGAAAUUAUUAAUUGGUGUUAACUGGGAUUGGUGAAACCCAGCGACGAAGGAAAGGGGGAGGAAAAGGAAGUAAUUUUUUUUCUUCUUAUAUAUGUUAUUUUGUAUAGGUUAAACUUUUUUAAAAGUGAAAGGGUUUUUGAGGGUUCACUUUGCUUUGGGAUUUGUGUGUUUUGCUUUGGAGUUUGGAUGAUGGAGGAAGCUCAGGGUAGUUCCAGUUCCCUGCCACCUUUCCUCACCAAGACUUAUGAGAUGGUGGAUGAUCCUUCCACCAAUUCCAUUGUUUCCUGGAGUCCCACCAAUAAGAGUUUCGUUGUUUGGAAUCCACCGGAAUUUUCAAGUGAAUUGUUGCCCAGAUUCUUUAAGCACAGUAACUUCUCCAGUUUUAUAAGGCAGCUCAACACUUAUGGGUUCAGAAAGAUUGACCCUGAAAAAUGGGAAUUUGCAAAUGAUGAUUUUAUAAGAGGUCAACCACAUCUUUUGAAGAAUAUCCAUAGGCGUAAACCUGUUCAUAGCCAUUCUUUACAGAAUGUCCAAAGUCAAGGGACUUUUCCGCUGACUGAAGCAGAACGGCAGAGUUUGAAGGAUGAGAUAGAGAAGCUUAAACAAGAUAAAGCACAACUUCUUCGGGAGUUGGAGAGGCAUGAACAGGAGUGGAAAAUGUAUGAAGUGCAAUUAAAAUGCUCAAAUGACCGCUUGGAAAAGAUGGAAAAGAAGCAAGAAAAUAUGCUUUCUUCUGUUUCUCAAGUGCUGCAGAAACCUGGGAUUGCUUUAAAUCUCUUGCAACUGCCAGAAAACAUCAUGGAUAGAAAACGAAGGUUGCCAAGAAGUAGUCUCUAUAGCGACAGUGCUAGCAUUGAAGAUCAUAUGGAAAUUUCUCCAGUACUACCGAGGCAAAAUGCACAGGGUUCCUCUAUUUUAACAUCAAACAUGGAGCGAUUGGAUUUGCUCGAGUCAUCCAUUGAGUUUUGGGAGGAAAUGUCACAUGAUGUUGACACUUUUUUGCAAAGUCAUUCAAACUUGGAUUUUGACGAAUCUAUGAGUUGUGCAGAUAGUCCAGCUAUAUCUUGUGUGCAACUAGAUGUUGAAGUGCAGCCUAAGUCACCUGGAAUUGGCAUGAAUUCUGAACCAGCUGUAGCUGCUGUUUCUGAUCUUGAUGCAUCGAAAGAACAACCUGUGGGAACAGCCCCUGUGGCUGCCGGUGUUAAUGACAUAUUCUGGGAAAAAUUCUUGACAGAAAAUCCUGGUUCAUCUGAAACGCAAUCUGAAAGAAAGGAUUCUGAUAGCAGAAAUAAUAGGAAAUUUUGGUGGAACAUUAGCAAUGUAAAUAACCUUCCUGAACAGAUGGGGCAUUCUUAGUCAAGCAGAUUAUACUUCAGUUGUGAUGCCCUACAAUUUUAUGUAAUAAAUAUAGGACACUUCCACCAUUGAUUAAAAGUCAAAUUGGCCAAUUCUAUUAGAAUAUGGGUUCAGACAACUCAGGAUACUGAUGGAGUAAAAAGUGGUGAAAAUUCAAUUAAACCAGUUUAAAGUUGGCAACUGAUAAUUGGUUUAAAUUGAUUUCUAAUUUUAUGCUUAUAUUUUUAUUUGUUUGAAAAAUCUUGAGGCAAAUAAUUA
Molecule: RNA transcript, 1980 nt
Organism: Cajanus cajan (pigeon pea)
Lineage: Eukaryota; Viridiplantae; Streptophyta; Magnoliopsida; Fabales; Fabaceae
Gene name: heat stress transcription factor A-4c
Source: RefSeq, a predicted model, not a curated record